RNAcentral lists this ribosomal RNA (500 nucleotides) under uncultured bacterium. RNAcentral's name for it is "partial 16S ribosomal RNA". It matches the Rfam family "Bacterial small subunit ribosomal RNA", at positions 30 to 523 of the family's 1533-position model. The record is from RNAcentral.
AUUGAACGCUGGCGGCAUGCUUUACACAUGCAAGUCGAACGGUAACAGGGUGCUUGCACCGCUGACGAGUGGCGAACGGGUGAGUAAUGCGUCGGAACGUGCCGAGUAGUGGGGGAUAACGCAGCGAAAGUUGUGCUAAUACCGCAUACGUACUGAGGUAGAAAGUGGGGGACCUUCGGGCCUCACGCUAUUCGAGCGGCCGACGUCUGAUUAGCUAGUAGGUGAGGUAAAGGCUCACCUAGGCGACGAUCAGUAGCGGGUCUGAGAGGAUGAUCCGCCACACUGGGACUGAGACACGGACCAGACUCCUACGGGAGGCAGCAGUGGGGAAUUUUGGACAAUGGGCGAAAGCCUGAUCCAGCCAUGCCGCGUGUCUGAAGAAGGCCUUCGGGUUGUAAAGGACUUUUGUCAGGGAGGAAAUCCCUAGUGCUAAUAACACUGGGGGAUGACAGUACCUGAAGAAUAAGCACCGGCUAACUAUGUGCCAGCCGCCGCAGUAA